Molecule: ribosomal RNA, 393 nt
Filed under: Aphidius schimitscheki
Lineage: Eukaryota; Metazoa; Arthropoda; Insecta; Hymenoptera; Braconidae
Description: partial 16S ribosomal RNA
Source: RNAcentral
AAAAACAUGUCUUAUUGAUAAUAAUUUUAAGUCUAAUCUGCCCAAUGAAAAUUUUAAUGGCUGCAGUAUCAAUAACUGUACAAAGGUAGCAUAAUAAUUAGUUUUUUAAUUGAAAACUAGAAUGAAAGAUUAAAUGAAAUAUAAACUUUAUAAAUAAAAUAAAUAUUUAAAUUAAAUUUUAAGUUAAAAUUCUUAAAUAUAAUUAAAAGACGAGAAGACCCUUUAGAAUUUAAUAGUAAUUAUUAUUAAACUUAUAAUAAUAUAAAUAUAAAUUAUAAUUAAUAUUUAAUUGGGGUAAUUUUAUAAUUUAAUAAACUUUUAAAUAAUAAUAACAUUAAUUAAUGAAUACAUAAUCCUAAAAAUAGUAUUUUAAAAUAAAUUACCUUAGGGAUA